RNAcentral lists this ribosomal RNA (529 nucleotides) under uncultured bacterium. Its description in RNAcentral is "bacterial SSU rRNA". It matches the Rfam family "Bacterial small subunit ribosomal RNA", at positions 777 to 1304 of the family's 1533-position model. The record is from RNAcentral.
AAUAGAUACCCAGGUAGUCCACGCCGUAAACGAUGAGUGCUAAGUGUUAGAGGGUUUCCGCCCUUUAGUGCUGCAGCUAACGCAUUAAGCACUCCGCCUGGGGAGUACGGCCGCAAGGCUGAAACUCAAAGGAAUUGACGGGGGCCCGCACAAGCGGUGGAGCAUGUGGUUUAAUUCGAAGCAACGCGAAGAACCUUACCAGGUCUUGACAUCCUCUGACAACCCUAGAGAUAGGGCUUUCCCCUUCGGGGGACAGAGUGACAGGUGGUGCAUGGUUGUCGUCAGCUCGUGUCGUGAGAUGUUGGGUUAAGUCCCGCAACGAGCGCAACCCUUGAUCUUAGUUGCCAGCAUUCAGUUGGGCACUCUAAGGUGACUGCCGGUGACAAACCGGAGGAAGGUGGGGAUGACGUCAAAUCAUCAUGCCCCUUAUGACCUGGGCUACACACGUGCUACAAUGGAUGGUACAAAGGGCUGCAAACCUGCGAAGGUAAGCGAAUCCCAUAAAGCCAUUCUCAGUUCGGAUUGCAGG